GACGGAGGAGGCAAGCGUUGUCCGGAAUUAUUGGGCGUAAAGGGUACCUAGGCGGCUGGUCAAGUCUGGGGUCAAAGGCCACAGCUCAACUGUGGGAAGGCCCUGGAAACUGACCGGCUAGAGUGAGGUAGGGGUUGCGGGAAUUCCCGGUGUAGCGGUGAAAUGCGUAGAGAUCGGGAAGAACACCUGAGGCGGAGGCGCGCAAUGGGGCCUCAAAUGACUUUGAGGUACGAAAGCUAGGGGAGCGAAUGUG
This 253-nucleotide ribosomal RNA is filed under the name uncultured bacterium. RNAcentral's name for it is "partial 16S ribosomal RNA". It matches the Rfam family "Bacterial small subunit ribosomal RNA", at positions 524 to 776 of the family's 1533-position model. The record is from RNAcentral.